AGAGUUUGAUCAUGGCUCAGGACGAACGCUGGCGGUGCGCCUAACACAUGCAAGUCGAACGGUGAACCGGGCUUCGGCCCGGGGAUCAGUGGCGAACGGGUGCGUAACACGUGGGCAACCUGCCCCCGACCCUGGGAUAACCCCGGGAAACCGGAGCUAAUACCGGAUACUCUCAUCCGACCACAUGGUCGGAUGAGGAAAGGUCCGCCGGUCGGGGAUGGGCCCGCGGCCUAUCAGCUCGUUGGUGGGGUAACGGCCUACCAAGGCGACGACGGGUAGCUGGUCUGAGAGGACGACCAGCCACACUGGGACUGAGACACGGCCCAGACUCCUACGGGAGGCAGCAGUGGGGAAUCUUGCGCAAUGGGCGAAAGCCUGACGCAGCGACACCGCGUGGGGGACGAAGGCCUUUCAGGUUGUAAACCCCUUUCGGCAGGGACGAAGCGAUCUCGUGACGGUACCUGCAGAAGAAGCCUCGGCUAACUACGUGCCAGCAGCCGCGGUAACACGUAGGAGGCGAGCGUUGUCCGG
Molecule: ribosomal RNA, 531 nt
Filed under: uncultured microorganism
Description: bacterial SSU rRNA
Rfam family: Bacterial small subunit ribosomal RNA
Source: RNAcentral